RNAcentral lists this long non-coding RNA (2620 nucleotides) under Cyanistes caeruleus (blue tit). Its description in RNAcentral is "lncRNA (ENSCCEG00000011114.1)". Lineage: Eukaryota; Metazoa; Chordata; Aves; Passeriformes; Paridae. The record is from RNAcentral.
CUCUGAUGGUACUAACUGAUGCCCAAGGAGAAAGCUUGAUGAUUUAGAGAUGAAGAAGAAAGGAAUUGCACCCUUGGGACUUGGCUAUUCCACUUGAGCGACAACACCCGUGGAAGGUGAUGGUAUAUUUUUUCCAAAGCAAAGGCCUCAGUUUCCAGCAGAAUUUGCAACCCAGUAAUAAAUAUUUAAAGGAGUUAUAAUGGAACUGAAACAAAGAGUGCACACACACACACACACACACACGUACACACAUGUGUACAGACACACACACAAAGACAUGCACACUCACAGUCAAUUAGUCUGAGGUCAUUCUGGUGCAGAUGGUGCCUCUGUUCAAACCCUGAGAUAUUUUGUUUUUUCUGUCAGGAAACUUGGCCACCUCAGAAUUUUAAUACCCCAUAAAAAAACAUAUAAAAAAAUUAUUCUUUACUGUCUAUGUAGCAGAUCACUCGAACAUCCAUGUCAAAGGCAUUUUCUUCAAGAAAAUCUCCUUCUGCCCCUAAAAGAGUGUAAUAAAGAGUACAAUCCAUGCUGAUUUCUUGGUAUUCUUUCUCAGGUAUGAACUUUAGGAUUUUCAAUCAUCUCUAUUUUAUUCUAUAACAGACUAAAAUAAAUUACACCAGAAUGGCAGUUUUGGAACAUAUGAGAACUACACAACUACCAUUUGGCUUCAAAUGUAUAGAUUAUUAUAAAGCAAAUGAGACACUGAUGUACUUUUCCAUUUACAAAGCUUGGAUUUUCCCCUAUGGGCAUAACACUAGGUGAUAUCUUAAUUAAUGAUGGUGAAGACCAUAUAUGUGACAUAAACAAAAGAGCUGCAUUUUAACAAUAAUAAAAAAGAGAAGAACAAAAUAUUACAACUCUUGUGAGAAAGAAUGAACUGAUUCCAAAAAGUAGAAUAAUGAAAACUGAAAGGCAAAAGAAGGGAGAAUGUGACGUAGAUAUUGGAGCUACCUGCAAAUGUCUCCCUUUACCAACCAGAAGCUCUUCAUCGGGAGAGACCUUUGGGAUGGAUCCGCUGGCAAGGAGAAGGGAGCGAGAAAGCUCCUGCAGGAAAGGAGAGCCGGUCUAGUCCAGGAGAAGCUCCUGGGAGAGGGGCAAGCGUGGACAGAGGCAGGAAGGCCUCCCACUCCUGUCGCUCACCAUUCCCGUGCCAGCCCUGCUCCAUCUGCUGGCAAGAACAAUGCGGAGCCGCUGCCGCCUGCCCGCCGGGAUCCAGCCCCUCCUGUCCUCCUCCCCAGCCCAUUUCAUCGGCCACAAGUGCCGAGGGACAGAAGAGCAGAGCCUCCCCCACACACAGGAGGGAGAACAACACUUAUUUUUGGAUCCCUGCUUUCCCAUAGGCUUCCCCUCUAUUUUAGCCUCCAAGAUGUCAUUAAAGUUACAAAUUAAGUACUGAGCAUGCAGUGUAUUUACUAUCUGAUCUGCUGGCUGGGAAGUUUAUUCCCCUGAUCACCUGUGGUCAGUCAAACCCAAUGGAAAUAUCCUGCAAGGCCCCUGAGGUUGCACAUUGGGAUGCUGAUGGGAAUGGAGAGAGGUGGAAGUACCAGCUGCUGCCUCAGCCAAGUGCCCAGGAAACCAGGGUGCAGAUGUGAAAGGUGUUCAGGGGAAAUGUGAAUCCUUUGCCUCUUUCCUUUGCUGCUCGGUGCUUUGCAAGGGUAUUGUUUUGGCUCUGCCUCCGUUUUUCCCUUGGCUACUACGUGUUUAAGAGAACAGGCUGAGGAAAGCUCUGAUAUUUUCAAAAUGUGAAAGCAACAUGCAAAGCUUUUGCCAUGUAUGAGCCUGCAUGGCAUUGUGAAUUUGACUCACUCUUCUCUCCACAUGGAGAUGCAGGGUGUUCACAGCUCCCUUAUGAAAGGGUUUUUCAGCUCUAGCACCAUGGGUAUUAAAUGUUUUUUAUUCUUGUCCUACCUUCUGCUUUUGGGAAAUCAUCUGCACCUGGAAUUUGUGUCUCUCUUCCAUAAGGGAAAAGAAGCAUGUUCAUCCUGCUGUGGUCCUUGUAUAUGGCAAGUCUUCCAGCUCUGGGUUACAGGUGAAUGGGGUGGGCUGAGCUUCCCCACAUCAGUUAGGUCCUCAGGGAGGGAAGAAGGGCAGCCAGCGUCAGACCAGUGUUUACAGAAAGUUUAGUCUCCAAUGGAUUUCCCUAUUCCAGUGAAACAAUAGGAGGGUCUUGUGCUGUAUUAUCCAUGCGUCCUCUUUAUUCUGAUAUUAUCUGUGAAUUCUUGCAAAUAAUAGAUGACAGAGACCAUUAUUGUUUUGGGAAGUAGGAAGAUAAAAACAUUAGAUGGACCUUAGCAGUUUCAAUAGACUUAUUCACCGUGUUUGUAGCCAUGCAAAUCAGAAACUAGCAAAAUACCUGUUGGAAUAAGUAAUAACCCUGUGCAUUCACUGAAGCAGUUCUUUUACAUCUCGUUUUUAACAAGAGACUGCCUCUGUCAAACAAGUGCUAGAGUUCAAAACAAAAAGGGAAAGCAAACAUAACUCCACUCUUAAUGCCAUAAGAUUUUUGGGAAGCAAUCCAUUUCAGCUCUUUCAUGUAUCUGCAUUAAUACAGGAAUUUAAUAUAAAUUGCAUGAUGGUGAUUAAUAAAUCUUCUAUUAAUUGAACUUGAAGUAAAAAG